GGUCCCAUGGUGUAAUCGUUAGCACUCUGGACUCUGAAUCCAGCGAUCCGAGUUCAAAUCUCGGUGGGACCU
Zootermopsis nevadensis is the source of this 72-nucleotide non-coding RNA. NCBI's taxonomy places the organism in Eukaryota, Metazoa, Arthropoda, Insecta, Blattodea, Termopsidae. The record is from Rfam.